Molecule: ribosomal RNA, 378 nt
Filed under: uncultured organism
Description: bacterial SSU rRNA
Rfam family: Bacterial small subunit ribosomal RNA
Source: RNAcentral
CAGAGACCUCAAGCGUUAUCCGGAAUCAUUGGGCGUAAAGCGUACCGAUAGGUGGUUUAUUAAGUCUUGGGUAAAAGCCGGAAGCUCAACUUCCGCGUUUGCUUAAGAUACUAAUAGACUAGAGGGGCAAAGAGGUGCUUGGAACCAACGGUGUAGUAGUGAAAUGCGUUGAUAUCGUUGGGAACACCGAAAGCGAAGGCAGAGCACUGGGUGCCACCUGACACUGCUAGGACGAAAGCGUGGGGAGCGAAUGGGAUUAGAUACCCCAGUAGUCCACGCUGUAAACGAUGAAUGCUAGGCAUACGCGAGUAUCGACCCUCGUAUGUGCCGCAGCUAACGCGAUAAGCAUUCCGCCUGGGGAGUACGGUCGCAAGACUA